CUUUUUUUUUUCUUUUCUUUUUUUGAAGUGUACAUAGGUUGUGAACAAGUAUUUACCCCCAGUCCUUUUAAUCUCAGCCAUUCAAUCAUCAUAGAUCAUCUUGGCAGAUUUCAAACAUCACUGUAAUCAACAAUCGAAAACAACUACCGGCGGCGGCGGCAGUGGUUGGUGGCGAGUGGCGACGCACCUACGGCAGACAAAGGUACCUCGUCGACGAUGAUUAUACUGUGAGCUGGCGGUAAGAACUCAUGAGUUGUAAACAAUAGUGAGUCCGUGAGUGAAUAGUUUUUGUAAAUAAAGAUGAGUGGAUCUUCAUGUAAUCAUGUUGUAAACCUCUUAGGCCGGUGCUUAUGAGGCGAAGCUUCUUGGAGCUUCUUGUUUGCCAACUCAGCAUCACAUCACUCAGGACUCUACUCAGGACACUCACUGUAUAUAAAUAAAAGCUUCUUGAAACUUCUUAUUACAUUAUCAAUUAUUUUAUAAUUUAUCUCUCACAUACAAAUACACAUAUAUAUGUCUCACACAUAUAUAAAAUAAAAAUAAAAAACAUUGCGACCCCACCUUUUCAGCGUUUUCCAUAUUCUCCAGGAAGACUCUUGCUUGAAGGCUCUCAUCAAAGACACCCACUAUCUAUAAUGUUCAGCGGCUUCCAACCUUGAGGACGCACCUCAAGGACUAUUAUAAGCAACACCCUUAGGCCGGUGCUUAUAGACAUCUUUGGAGGAGCGUCCUCUGACGUGGAGAAGUUGGACUUCAUCGGCAGCUAGCGUCCCGCGCCCUGCAUCCGAACAAAAAUUCUCCACCAAGAAGUUGGAGGACGGAGGAAAGGAAAGAAGUUCUAAGAAGACCACCCUUAUAAGCAUAGGCCUUAGAGAAAAUAGAGGUUUGGAAACCUCUUAGAGAAUAUGACGUGUUUAAGAGGUUUGAGCCUCUGGAUCUGAGCCAAAAACAAACACUCAAUAUUUGCAAAACCUCUUGAAUCUUCUUUUUCAGUUGGAACAAAGAGGUUAUUUAGAUAUUUUCUUAAAAAACAAAUGAGGCCUUAUUUUUUUCCAAAAUUUGAGCCCCUUUCUAAGUUAUAAUAUUUUGGAAGUUGAACAUUUUGUCAAAUUGUUGUCGUUAUUAGUAAUUUCUUUUUUCUUUCAAGAAAUGAGAAAGUAUAUAAAUUAUAAAAUUUAGGCA
Molecule: long non-coding RNA, 1182 nt
Organism: Erigeron canadensis
Lineage: Eukaryota; Viridiplantae; Streptophyta; Magnoliopsida; Asterales; Asteraceae
Exons: 3
Source: RefSeq, a predicted model, not a curated record